Molecule: non-coding RNA, 72 nt
Organism: Vicugna pacos (alpaca)
Lineage: Eukaryota; Metazoa; Chordata; Mammalia; Artiodactyla; Camelidae
Source: the annotation of a RefSeq genome assembly
GAGGGUAUAGCUCAGUGGUAGAGUGUGUGCCUCGCAAGCAUAAUCUCCUGGGUUCGAUCCCCAGUACCUCCA